This 492-nucleotide ribosomal RNA is filed under the name uncultured bacterium. RNAcentral describes it as "partial 16S ribosomal RNA". It matches the Rfam family "Bacterial small subunit ribosomal RNA", at positions 30 to 507 of the family's 1533-position model. The record is from RNAcentral.
AUUGAACGCUGGCGGCAGGCCUAACACAUGCAAGUCGAACGGCAGCACAGUAAGAGCUUGCGCUUACGGGUGGCGAGUGGUGGACGGUGGAGGAAUACAUCGGAAGCAACUUUGGCGUAGGGGAGAACGUAGGGAAACUUACGGUAAUAGCGCAUAGGAACUACGGGUGAAAGCAGGGGACCUGAGGAUCUUGCACGAGCGAAGGAGCCGAUAUCGGAUUAGCUAGUUGGCGGGGUAAAGGCCCACCAAGGCGACGAUCCGUAGCUGGUCUGAGAGGAUGAUCAGCCACACUGGAACUGAGACACGGUCCAGACUCCUACGGGAGGCAGCAGUGGGGAAUAUUGGACAAUGGGCGCAAGCCUGAUCCAGCCAUGCCGCGUGUGUGAAGAAGGUCUUCGGGUUGUAAAGCCCUUUUGUUUGGCAAGAAAAGCAGUAGGUUAAUACCUUGCUGUUCUGACGGUACCCAAAGAAUAAGCACCGGCUAACUUCGUG